Non-coding RNA from Mycena metata, 91 nucleotides. Lineage: Eukaryota; Fungi; Basidiomycota; Agaricomycetes; Agaricales; Mycenaceae. The record is from the annotation of a GenBank genome assembly.
GGUCAGAUGGUGAAAUGGUAGCACGUGCACUCUUCGUAUACGUUGACCAAUGUAUGCUCGUGAGGUCUUUGUUCGAUUCGAAGUCUGGCCA